RNAcentral lists this ribosomal RNA (381 nucleotides) under uncultured bacterium. Its description in RNAcentral is "bacterial SSU rRNA". It matches the Rfam family "Bacterial small subunit ribosomal RNA", at positions 28 to 297 of the family's 1533-position model. The record is from RNAcentral.
GACGAACGCUGGCGGCGUGCCUAACACAUGCAAGUCGAACGGAAGAACUAUUUGGAGAGACAUUCUGACUUUCCCUCAAACCCUGACUCCUUUUUGGUAGAAGGGGAGAAGACCCGCUUGGUCACGAAGUGACUGGGCUUUGCCCACGGGUCGGAUGAGGGGAAACGAGGCGUUUCCCCUCCAUAGCUCUUUAGUGGCGGACGGGUGAGUAACACGUUGGUACAUGCCUCGAAGUGGGGAAUAACUGCCCGAAAGGGUGGCUAAUACCGCAUGUGAUCGCAAGAUUAAAGCAUUUAUGCGCUUCGAGAGUGGCCUGCGUCUGAUUAGCUAGUCGGUAGGGGUAAAGGCCUACCAAGGCGACGAUCAGUAGCUGGUUCGAGA